GUGGGGAAUUUUGCGCAAUGGGCGAAAGCCUGACGCAGCGACGCCGCGUGAGGGAUGAAGGUCUUAGGAUUGUAAACCUCUGUCAGGAAGCAUUAAAUGCACGGUUAUCAACACCAGCCGUGCUUGACUUAACUUCCAGAGGAAGCCCCGGCUAACUACGUGCCAGCAGCCGCGGUAAUACGUAGGGGGCAAGCGUUACUCGGAUUUAUUGGGCGUAAAGAGAAUUAAGGCGGUCAUGUAAGUCAGUGGUGAAAUACCUCGGCUCAACUGAGGAAUUGCCUUUGAUACUGCUUGACUUGAGGACAGGAGAGGAAGGCGGAAUUCCCGGUGUAGCGGUGGAAUGCGUAGAUAUCGGGAGGAACACCUGAGGCGAAGGCGGCUUUCUGGACUGGUCCUGACGCUGAUAUUCGAAAGCUAGGGGAGCAAACAGGAUUAGAAACCCGGGUAGUCC
RNAcentral lists this ribosomal RNA (451 nucleotides) under uncultured bacterium. Its description in RNAcentral is "bacterial SSU rRNA". It matches the Rfam family "Bacterial small subunit ribosomal RNA", at positions 354 to 796 of the family's 1533-position model. The record is from RNAcentral.